GACCGCUCCGAUGGCCUAGUGGGUAGAGUGUCCACAUUGGAUAUGGGAAAUCCCAGGUUCGAACCCUGGCAGAGUCA
Non-coding RNA from Potamilus streckersoni, 77 nucleotides. Lineage: Eukaryota; Metazoa; Mollusca; Bivalvia; Unionida; Unionidae. The record is from the annotation of a GenBank genome assembly.